UAAACUGGUAUUGGUUGGGUGAACUGUGGUACUAGAGAGAAAUAGAGGGAAGCGGAAUUCCGGGUGUAGUGGUGGAAUGCGUAGAUAUCCGGAGGAAUACCGGUGGCGAAGGCGGCUUCCUGGAUUUCAACUGACGCUGAGGCGCGAAAGCGUGGGUAGCGAACGGGAUUAGAAACCCCGGUAGUCCACGCCGUAAACGAUGCACAUUCGAUGUUCGGUCAUGUUAAGUGAUUGAGUGUUCCAGCAAACGCGAUAAAUGUGCCGCCUGGGGAGUACGGUCGCAAGGCUAAAACCCAAAGGAAUUGACGGGGGCCCGCACAAGCAGCGGAGCGUGUGGUUUAAUUCGAGGCUACGCGAAGAACCUUACCUGGGUUUGACAUGAUGGUAGUACGGAAGCGAAAGCGGAAGGACCUUCGGGAGCCAUCACAGGUGCUGCAUGGUUGUCGUCAGCUCGUGCCGUGAGGUGUUCGGUUAAGUCCGCAAACGAGCGCAACCCUCGAUGCUAGUUACAAGUGUCUAGCAUGACUGCCCAUGACAAAUGGGAGGAAGGUGGGGAUGAUGUCAAAUCAGCAUGGCCUUUAUAUCCAGGGCGACACACACGCUACAAUGGUCGGUACAAUGGGUAGCGAAGCCGCGAGGUGGAGCGAAUCCUGCAAAGUCGGUCUCAGUUCGGAUUGCAGGCUGCAACUCGCCUGCAUGAAGUCGGAGUUGCUAGUAACCGCAAAUCAGCACGUUGCGGUGAAUACGUUCCCGGGCCUUGUACACACCGCCC
Molecule: ribosomal RNA, 772 nt
Filed under: uncultured bacterium
Lineage: Bacteria
Description: bacterial SSU rRNA
Rfam family: Bacterial small subunit ribosomal RNA
Source: RNAcentral